RNAcentral lists this ribosomal RNA (253 nucleotides) under uncultured bacterium. RNAcentral describes it as "partial 16S ribosomal RNA". It matches the Rfam family "Bacterial small subunit ribosomal RNA", at positions 524 to 776 of the family's 1533-position model. The record is from RNAcentral.
GACAGAGGGUGCUAGCGUUGUUCGGAAUUACUGGGCGUAAAGGGCGUGUAGGCGGCAAAGUAUGUCCGUUGUGAAAGCCCUCGGCUUAACCGGGGAAGUGCAUCGGAAACUACUUAGCUAGAGUUUAGGAGAGGGUGGCGGAAUUCCCAGAGUAGAGGUGAAAUUCGUAGAUACUGGGAGGAACACCUGAGGCGAAGGCGGCCACCUGGCCUAUUACUGACGCUGAUACGCGAAAGCGUGGGGAGCAAACAGG